GCGGAAGUAGCUCAGGGGUAGAGCACAACCUUGCCAUGGUUGGGGUCGCGGGUUCGAAUCCCGUCUUCCGCU
RNAcentral lists this transfer RNA (72 nucleotides) under Lactobacillus sp. S2-2. RNAcentral describes it as "tRNA-Gly". It matches the Rfam family "tRNA". Rfam says of the family: Transfer RNA (tRNA) molecules are approximately 80 nucleotides in length. Their secondary structure includes four short double-helical elements and three loops (D, anti-codon, and T loops). Further hydrogen bonds mediate the characteristic L-shaped molecular structure. tRNAs have two regions of fundamental functional importance: the anti-codon, which is responsible for specific mRNA codon recognition, and the 3' end, to which the tRNAs corresponding amino acid is attached (by aminoacyl-tRNA synthetases). tRNAs cope with the degeneracy of the genetic code in two manners: having more than one tRNA (with a specific anti-codon) for a particular amino acid; and 'wobble' base-pairing, i.e. permitting non-standard base-pairing at the 3rd anti-codon position. The record is from RNAcentral. Lineage: Bacteria; Bacillati; Bacillota; Bacilli; Lactobacillales; Lactobacillaceae.